UCCGAAGGCGUAAGAGACGGCGGACAGCCAGUCAGACACCGAGAGGUAAACCAGGAGCUUCCUCGGAGUAGUCCUCAAAUCAGACCAAAUAAUGAAGGGAGGAGAGGCGACCUGCUGAGUCUCCUGAUGGAAACCGGCUUUCAUUUUGAACAGAGGAGAAAACAAUAACAAAAACAGCUGUCCUUCUCUGUGAGGAUCAAACUGUGGUCAGACAAUGAUCCCCGAGUCCCUGGAGACUUGUGAAAGGGUCACCGGUGGUGCUCUGUCUGUGUGGAGGUUACUGUGCCACUGUGUGAUUGGCAACACAACAAGUCAAGGCAUGUUCCAACACGCCACCAACAGCCGGACCUGGUGUAUGAGCCUGCUCCUAAACCAGAGGGGGAGGAGCAGAGGAUCAGAGAGGGGGGAAACCCAGAAAAAAACCCAGCAUGACUCAGCCUGCUUUAUUUGGCAAAUUGCUCAAGGAGGAUGUGAGAGCAUGUGCUGCAUACUUUUUCAGCAGGGGAGAUGGUGGUGGUGGUGGUGAUGGUUCUUGGAGGAGUGUUACAUAUCCUCCACAACAACUCGUGUCAUCUGGAGAUGUGUGUUGACUCCUGGCCUACAUUCACUACUGCCAUUUGUUACCGUCAAAAACAGCAGUGCAGCAGCAGCAGAAGCAGCAGCGUGGCGAUUCCUGACAUACUGUAUGCACCGUCUUCACCAAGAACCCUGCAACUCUGAAAGGUCUGCUGCUUAAUGAGAGAGUCGUGAACCGGAGGAGCGGGCUCAUAUUCAGAGGUAUACCAAGCUCACACGUCAUCUCAUCAAAGAACCCGCCUUUCUCAGUGUCAGUUAUAACACUUUCAUCCACCACAGCCCCGAGAAGAUGGACUGGCAAAAAUCAGGAAUGUGUUGCCGCUGCCAAUUUACAUCCUGGACGAGUCCCACGCUGAGCUUGUGGACGCAUACUUGCCUUAUGGAGGCAGCCAGGAGAGCAUCAACCACGUGAGAGCCUGUGUGACGGAUGAGACUGCGUGACGGAUGAGACAGGCCGUCCUGUGGCCUGGAUCCUGUCUGACGAGCUGUGUGAGCUGAGGAUGGCCUACACCCUACCAGAGUACAGGCGGGCCGGUCACCUCCUGGUUCUGUCUCUGUCUCUGAUGCACAGGAUGAGCUCCAUGGGUCUGCCCAUCUACUGCCACAUCCACCAGCUGAACCGGGCCACUGUUAACGCCAUGACCUUGCUCGGCUUCACUGCCUGUCCCAGUAUGGAGAACAUCUCAGUGCUGCUAAUAUGCAAAGACAAAGUUUGAGUGAGCCAAAGAAAUGACAAUAAAGUCUGCUGGAUGAGUGAAACUACAGUGGAAAAAAAAAUAAUUUAUUGUAAAAGUGGAAAAUGUAACAAUUACGCUCCUUGAUCUAUGAUUUCUGUUUCCCUUCAGCACUGUGGAGAUACUGCACUUUAGACAGUUUAGUCCAUUCUGACAGCAAACUGCAAGUAGAACAAACUCAAAAAUAACAUUUUCUGUAGCCUUAGGGUGGAUGUGAUGAAUAUGGCAGGUAUGCUUCUCCUUUUUAUUCACUAUAUAUAUAUAUAAAGCUAUAUGAAAUAUACCAUAUGUAAGAACAAUACAUAUUUGUCUUCAGUUUGACCCUCUGUCGUGUGGCGAGCGGCUUUUCUUGAGAAAAAGAACCCCUUAAUCCGCAGAUCUCCCAGGGAGGCUCUCCUCUACCUGGGACCCUUCCCCGGAGGUGUGCCGUUCCACUGCUGAUUGCCUCUCUGUGUUUUAGCAGCAAUGCACCAUUCAAGUCUGCAGGCAACUUGACAAAUGAGCAGCGAUCUGAGCAGAGGGGAUACUCGUACUGCACCACACAUCCUGUCCCAUCCACAUCCCCCCUGUCCCGCAGUGGUGCACCUCUCUUCACUGACGCCCUUUCUUUACUCUAAACCAGCUUCUCAAAGUCAAACGGCACGCGUUAAAUACAUGUUUGCUGACGCGUGUUUAUGCACGCACAA
Molecule: long non-coding RNA, 1996 nt
Organism: Larimichthys crocea (large yellow croaker)
Lineage: Eukaryota; Metazoa; Chordata; Actinopteri; Sciaenidae
Exons: 8
Source: RefSeq, a predicted model, not a curated record